CGCAUCCUACGGGGGGCAGCAGUGGGGAAUAUUGCGCAAUGGGCGAAAGCCUGACGCAGCGACGCCGCGUGAGGGAGGAAGGUCUUCGGAUCGUAAACCUCUGUCAGCAGGGAAGAACGGUCACUGUGCUAAUCAGCAGUGAAUUGACGGUACCUGCAAAGGAAGCACCGGCUAACUCCGUGCCAGCAGCCGCGGUAAUACGGAGGGUGCGAGCGUUAAUCGGAAUUACUGGGCGGAAAGCGCUCGUAGGCGGGAUGUCAAGUCAAGGGUGAAAUCCCCGCGCUCAACGGGGGUACUGCCUUUGA
Molecule: ribosomal RNA, 305 nt
Filed under: uncultured bacterium
Lineage: Bacteria
Description: bacterial SSU rRNA
Rfam family: Bacterial small subunit ribosomal RNA
Source: RNAcentral